GUGGGGAAUCUUGCGCAAUGGGCGAAAGCCUGACGCAGCGACGCCGCGUGAGCGAUGAAGGCCUUCGGGUUGUAAAGCUCUGUGGAGGGAGACGAAUAAGGGUUGGCUAACAUCCAGCUCGAUGACGGUAUCCCUUUAGCAAGCACCGGCUAACUCUGUGCCAGCAGCCGCGGUAAGACAGAGGGUGCAAACGUUGUUCGGAAUUACUGGGCGUAAAGCGCGUGUAGGCUGCUCGAUAAGUCGGGUGUGAAAGCCCUGGGCUCAACCUAGGAAGUGCACUCGAAACUGCCGAGCUGGAGUCCCGGAGAGGAAGGCGGAAUUCUCGGUGUAGAGGUGAAAUUCGUAGAUAUCGAGAGGAACACCGGUGGCGAAGGCGGCCUUCUGGACGGCGACUGACGCUAAGACGCGAAAGCGUGGGGAGCAAACAGGAUUAGAAACCCCGGUAGUCC
This 449-nucleotide ribosomal RNA is filed under the name uncultured bacterium. RNAcentral describes it as "bacterial SSU rRNA". It matches the Rfam family "Bacterial small subunit ribosomal RNA", at positions 354 to 796 of the family's 1533-position model. The record is from RNAcentral.